RNAcentral lists this transfer RNA (72 nucleotides) under Camelus bactrianus (Bactrian camel). It matches the Rfam family "tRNA". Rfam says of the family: Transfer RNA (tRNA) molecules are approximately 80 nucleotides in length. Lineage: Eukaryota; Metazoa; Chordata; Mammalia; Artiodactyla; Camelidae. RNAcentral also lists the same sequence under 3 other names. The record is from Rfam by way of RNAcentral.
GGGGAUGUAACUCAGUGGUAAAGUGGGUGCCUGGCGUGCACGUGGUCAUGGGUUCAAUCCCCAGUGCCUCUG